Molecule: ribosomal RNA, 447 nt
Filed under: uncultured bacterium
Lineage: Bacteria
Description: bacterial SSU rRNA
Rfam family: Bacterial small subunit ribosomal RNA
Source: RNAcentral
UAGGGAAUCUUACCACAAUGGGCGCAAGCCUGAUGGAGCAACACCGCGUGAGUGAAGAAGGGUUUCGGCUCGUAAAGCUCUGUUGUUAAAGAAGAACACGUAUGAGAGUAACUGUUCAUACGUUGACGGUAUUUAACCAGAAAGUCACGGCUAACUACGUGCCAGCAGCCGCGGUAAUACGUAGGUGGCAAGCGUUAUCCGGAUUUAUUGGGCGUAAAGAGAGUGCAGGCGGUUUUCUAAGUCUGAUGUGAAAGCCUUCGGCUUAACCGGAGAAGUGCAUCGGAAACUGGAUAACUUGAGUGCAGAAGAGGGUAGUGGAACUCCAUGUGUAGCGGUGGAAUGCGUAGAUAUAUGGAAGAACACCAGUGGCGAAGGCGGCUACCUGGUCUGCAACUGACGCUGAGACUCGAAAGCAUGGGUAGCGAACAGGAUUAGAUACCCUGGUAG